AUUGAACGCUGGCGGCAGGCCUAACACAUGCAAGUCGAGCGGAUGAAGGGAGCUUGCUCCUGGAUUCAGCGGCGGACGGGUGAGUAAUGCCUAGGAAUCUGCCUGGUAGUUGGGAAUAACGUCCGUAAACGGGCGCUAAUACCGCAUACGUCCUGAGGUUGAACGUGGGGGAUCUUCGGUCCUCACGCUUUCAGAUGACCCUAGUUGGGAUAGCUAGUUGGUGGGGUAAAGGCCUACCAAGGCGACGAUCCGUAACUGGUCUGAGAGGAUGAUCAGUCACACUGGAACUGAGACACGGUCCAGACUCCUACGGGAGGCAGCAGUGGGGAAUAUUGGACAAUGGGCGAAAGCCUGAUCCAGCCAUGCCGCGUGUGUGAAGAAGGUCUUCGGAUUGUAAAGCACUUUAAGUUGGGAGGAAGGGCAGUAAGUUAAUACCUUGCUGUUUUGACGUUACCAACAGAAUAAGCACCGGCUAACUUCGUG
RNAcentral lists this ribosomal RNA (483 nucleotides) under uncultured bacterium. Its description in RNAcentral is "partial 16S ribosomal RNA". It matches the Rfam family "Bacterial small subunit ribosomal RNA", at positions 30 to 507 of the family's 1533-position model. The record is from RNAcentral.